Long non-coding RNA from Ornithodoros turicata, 1160 nucleotides. RefSeq lists it as uncharacterized. The record is from RefSeq and is a predicted model, not a curated record. The transcript has 6 exons. NCBI's taxonomy places the organism in Eukaryota, Metazoa, Arthropoda, Arachnida, Ixodida, Argasidae.
UGGAAGCCCGCGAAAUGCUUUCCUCGUAGACGCAUGAGAUGCGCCGUGAAGUUUUAGGUGUUUGGAAGUGCAUCUAGUGUUUGGUCUUUGGCCGACUGUACCCCCGCAAAGCAAAGCCAGCCGUGUGGACAGUGAAGAAGCAGAUAUUGCACACUGAAAACAUCACCUCAUCACAGAUGCAUCGUGCACUGUGAGUUGACAGUCCCUUCUUGUGUGCUUCGACAAUCACUAUUCUUGGGACUCAACAUACAACAGGACACUAUCCUGUGGUCUCCAGAGACGAGUACAACCUGCGCUAUGGGAAACCGGUACACAUCUUUCUGGAAACUGGCCCUGAGGUGAUGUCAAUUUUUCUUUUUCUUUUUCGCGUAACACCAUCGAGCUUUCUACCAGACCUCAGGCUAUACCAUCUUGAAUCUCAGAGACAAGUGUAUAUUGUUGUGUGCUACCCUCAAAGUUAAUGGACAGUCAUCCAUAUUCAGCUUAUGAAGUAAUAAACUCUGUUGUUGUCUCCCUCAGAAUAUCGCAUGCCUGUGCAUGCUACAGUUGUUGCUAUAUGUGUGUGGUUUUCAGAGCUUGCUCAAUGCUGCUUCUUUUUCUCUUUCUUUCUUGUUUACUAGACGUUUCUGAAGAUCAGGAGUAGAGAUCAGAAAACAAAAAGCUUUGUGUCAGUAACAUGUCUUGAGGAGCUAAUCAGAGUUGCUGUGGGUCAUGGAAUUUGUCAGGAGGGCAACAUACAGUUAUUUCUUUCUAGGUGUAUUUAAUGGAUGAGUUAUCACUUCGCUCUAUGGUUGCUGGUGCUGAGAAAUGCCUCGAUGACAUUUUCAUUGUUAAAAAUCUACUAUGGAAACAAGAUCAGUCAACAUGUGUGAGUGCACCUUCACCAAUCCCACAAAUGCCUCUGCUCUCACGAAUUUAUUACCCUUGGGGGAGCCAAUGUCUUGCUUCCCUCUCAACGACAGGAAGUGGCACACAUGGCAGCGUCAUGUCCCUGCAUAUCCAUUGAAGGCACCUGGUUGGUAUCAUUGAGAACGAAGGGAGCCAGCAGGCAUAAAAAAAUCAAGAGGGCUACAUACAUAAAUGCGUGAGGCAAUGAGGGUCGCAGAUGAAUAUAGCAAGAAGUGGGAACAUCUCAUGUGAUACAUGGCGGUCAAAUGGCG